Molecule: long non-coding RNA, 1131 nt
Filed under: Homo sapiens (human)
Lineage: Eukaryota; Metazoa; Chordata; Mammalia; Primates; Hominidae
Description: long non-coding RNA NONHSAT013242.2
Source: RNAcentral
AGGGAGGCUACCUACGUGGCGCAUGCUUCCCUUAUCCCUGAAGAGCUUAGGAUGUUGUAACUUCUUCACACUAGGCCUCUUACUUCUUGGAGAUGUCAGUAGCCGGGUAAAUAAUCUUUCUAACAUCCUUUUGGUCUCAUGAAGCCCAUUCUUGUCCUCUGCCCUACCUCAGCUUCCCCCUCCCUCCAUGAUCAGACCUUAGACCUUGUCAGGUCCAAGGACUGCAACCCUCACAGUAUCCCACUCUGACCACCACCUCCUAUCUAGAGCAAUGGAGAGACUUUGUAGGUGAAAGCUGUCUUUGCUACUGGUUCUCCUAUGCUCCCUCGCCUGGCUCCUGCAGGCGGUUGACUUCACCAGGGACACAGUGGCCAGUGCCCAGCAGGUCCCACUCCUCUCACCAGCUCCAGGCAGUUUUAUUAUAGAGUAACUCUUCUGAGACACCGCUCCUUUCCCCAGCACCUAAGGAAGUAUUUCUAGUAAGUUCCAGUGGUAUAGCAUCGGUGACUCUCCUGACAAGCAGAGGGCCAUGGCUGGGUUCCUCUGAUGAGGUGCAGGGGCAGGGCACUAAGAGGGGAGGACUCUCCUGAGUUCUCUACCUGAGCCCUAGACUAGUAGCUGCUCCUCCUAUACUUCCUACUAGUCUGUGCCUGGUUACUCCACUUCCCUGUUGCAAUUAACAAUUCCCUAGGUACACUUUUCCUGUUCAAAUGACUGUGUGGCUUCUCUUUCCUAAUCGGACUCUGACCAAUACGCUAUCAUUUGCCAACAACUCCCAAAGUUUUAUCAGUGACUCAGACCUCUAACCUGAACUCCAGCUGCCUCCAUGACAUAUCCAUUUGGAUGUUUAAUGGACAUUUCCAAAGUGAUAUGCCCUACAGAACUCAGAAUCUUCCCUCUCAAACCAACUGCUCAGCAGUCUUAUGAUCUUAGUUGAUGGCAAUUCAGAAGUGAAUUGCAGGACACCCGGUUUGUAUCUGCAGAGAGAACUGGAGAACUGCUUAGUGUGGAAAACCCACACAUUUGGUUUCAGAAGUGUGUAUCCGUUAUAGCACUGAUGUGAGUGUAGAUGAAGUAAAAGCUUUGGCUUCUCUGAUGACAUACAAGUGUGCAGUGGUUGGUAGGUGAUCG